AUGGAAUUGGGAGCUUACUACAGCAUGGUAAUGAGCAAUUUGAUGCUUGUGCUAACUGUGUCCAUGGUGUCUGCUACUUACCUCUUGAUGAGGAAGAUGAGAGGCAAGAAGAGGCUGCCACCUGGGCCAGGCUUGGCCCUCCCGCUGGUGGGCCACCUCCACCUGCUCCGCGAGAAGCCGCUCCACGUCACGCUCGCCGGCCUCGCCGCGCGCCACGGCCCCGUCCUCUCCCUCCGCCUUGGCCGCCGCGACGCCGUCGUCGUCACCUCGCUGCGUCUGGCCAAGGAGUGCUUCUCCACCGAGCUGGACGUCAACUUCGCCAACCGCCCGCGGUUCCCCUCCGCGCGGGAGGUCUCGUUCGGCUACACGGGGCUGUCGGCCGCCAGCUACGGCCCGCACUGGCGCUCCAUGCGCCGCAUCGCCACCGUGCACCUCCUCUCCGCGCGCCGCGUCGACCUCAUGUCCGACGCCACCAUCGCCGGCGAGACCGGCGCCAUGGUGCGACGCCUUGCGCGCGCCGCAGCUGCGGCCAGCGGCGGCGUCACCAGGGUCGAGCUGAAGCGGAAUCUGUUCGAGCUCUCGCACGGCGUCCUCAUGGAGGCCAUCGCGGGAGCCAAGGGCACGCGUGAUGGCUCCGACGCUGACAUGUCUAAAGAGGCGCACGAGUUCAAGAAAGUGGUGGACGAGAUCGUGCCGCUGCUUGGCAUGGCGAACCUGCACGACCACCUGCCAGGACCCCUGCGAUGGCUCGACUUCGGCGGCGUGCGCCGGAGACUCACUGAGCUGGUGAACCGGAGGAACGCGCUGAUGCACGGUCUGAUCGAUGCAGAGAGGCAACGGCGGCCGCAGGAGGACCACGCCACCGACGAGCUGCUGCCGGAGUCGAAGAGCAUGAUAGGCGUGAUGCUCUCGCUGCAGGAGUCCGAUCCGCAGCAGUACACGGACACUUUCAUCGCCGCUCUAGUCACCAACCUCUUCGGCGGCGGCACGGUGACCACGUCGGCGACCAUGGAAUGGGCCAUGUCGCUCCUGCUCAACCACCCGGACGCGCUGCAGAAGGCGCGAGAGGAGGUGAGCGCCCGCGUCGGCCACGCCCGCCUCCUCAGCAGGGAGGACCUCCCCCACCUCCCUUACCUCCAGUGCAUCAUCAUCGAGACCCUGCGGCUCUACCCCGCCGCGCCGCUGCUAGCGCCGCACGAGUCGUCCGCCGACUGCAGCCUCCAUGGGUACCACGUCCCGGCGGGCACCAUGCUUCUCGCCAACGCCUACGCCAUCCACCGGGACCCAUCCGUCUGGGACGACCCAGAGGAGUUCAGGCCGGAGAGGUUCGACGUCAAUGGCGCCGACGGGCAGGGCCAGCAGGGGAUGAUGAUGCUGCCGUUCGGGAUGGGGCGGCGGCGGUGCCCCGGGGAGAGCCUUGCGCUGAGAACCAUGGGGCUGGUGCUGGGGACCUUGAUCCAGUGCUUCGACUGGAGCAGGGUGGCCGGCGCCGAGGUUGACAUGACGCAGGCCUCUGCCAAGAUCCUGUAUAAAGCUGUUCCUUUGGUAGCUCUCUGCAAACCGCACGACAACAUGCAGACUAUGCUUCACAAGAUCUAG
RNAcentral lists this ribosomal RNA (1599 nucleotides) under Triticum aestivum (bread wheat). Its description in RNAcentral is "partial small subunit ribosomal RNA". The record is from RNAcentral. Lineage: Eukaryota; Viridiplantae; Streptophyta; Magnoliopsida; Poales; Poaceae.